CCAACUUAGCCAGGUGCCCCUACAAUUACCCUAUAUGUUUAAUAGUAAAACUAACUUGCAUUAAACAUCGCCUGGUUAUUUAUAUGUCUGUUGCAGGAAUAAUGCUUGGCCAUAUAAGGUCUCUCUUCUUUUUAAAAAGUAAUCUCUACAUCCAACAUGGGGCUCAAAUUCAUGACCCAGGGAUCAAGAAUCAUAUGCUCCGUGGACUGAGCCAGGAGGCGUCUUGUAUCUAAGCCUUUACUUCAUGUGCACACUGACAGAAACCAACAGUAGCCCAGGAAAUGGAACUGUGGACACCACCAGUAGCCAAAGAACUGGGGAUGGGAAAGGAUUGAACCAGCAGACAUCAGAGAAUGGAGACUGUUGAGCUGAUCCAAGUGAAUGGAGGACUAUAGCUGCUAUCUGCAGCUCCCAGUGUGGAAUCUGAGGACAGAGCCUCGGUCUGGGGUUUAGAAGUUCCUGCAGAUUGGCCAAUAGAAGGCCUGUGUAUGCCACCAGCAAUUUCCAGAAUAUACUAAGCCAGCAGACUCCAGUAAACAGGGACUGUGGACUGGAAUGGGGGAAAGGGAUUCCACACAAGUGCAGAACUACAGACUGAACCAAGGGCUAACGACUGGUGCUCUGUUAGAUUCUCCUGUCAAUCUAGACUGACCUGUUAACCCUGGCCUGGAAGGUCUGUUAGAUUGGGAGCUCAACACAAAAAGAGUAGUGCUCAAACCAAGAGGAGCUUACCAAGGGCCCUAGGAAAUGGUCGUUCCCAAGUGUAACUUUGUUCUGGCCAAAGGUGCGCAUUUAUGCCAGCCUGACCCUGAUAGAGAAAUAUCAGCCCUGGAUUGUAAAGUAAGUAAAUAAAACAAACACAGAAACAAGCUCAUAAAAUGUAAGUCAGGUCUCGUCACCCUCCAGCUCAGAACCGCCCACCUCCGCCCUGUGGACUCCCCAUAGCGCUAAGCAUAAAACCCAAAGUCCUCGCCAUGGGAAGGCCCCACAGGAAACUCUUGAUCUCAUGACUUCCACACACCCCCGCCCUCCCCGCCAGCCUCAACACGCCCACCCCUGGCUGAGGCCCUGCCUCAGGGUCAUUGUGCUUGCUCUUCUCUGCAAAGAUCACACAAUGUCGCCUUACCCACUUCUCUGAUCAGCUCGUCUAAACUAGCUGCCUCCCUGCCGCUAGCGUCACUCCGCGUUUCCUUACCCUGCUU
Long non-coding RNA from Herpailurus yagouaroundi (jaguarundi), 1202 nucleotides. RefSeq lists it as uncharacterized. The transcript has 3 exons. The record is from RefSeq and is a predicted model, not a curated record. Lineage: Eukaryota; Metazoa; Chordata; Mammalia; Carnivora; Felidae.